RNAcentral lists this unclassified non-coding RNA (1619 nucleotides) under Dermacentor andersoni. RNAcentral's name for it is "uncharacterized LOC126534417". The record is from RNAcentral. Lineage: Eukaryota; Metazoa; Arthropoda; Arachnida; Ixodida; Ixodidae.
CGAGCGCCAUCUCUCCGCGACUACCCUGAACUACAGGAACCUCCGCUCCGAUGGGAAAACUAGCGACGCGGCAGGCAUCUAGUAAAGGAGGCAUUGCUCUGACUCGCUUUGGCGUAGCGGGUGUAGUAAACAUAUGUGGUACGUUGUGCGUGUGGCGUCGCGCUGACAAUCGCGAGAUAAAUUUUAGCUCCCGGUCUCCGUCUCCAUCCGAUAGCCUGCACCUCGUCCAACCGAUCAGCGCCCUGAAAGAAAAAAAGGUAAGCUAGGUUCCAUCUGGAGCCGCCCUUGAUGAGCCUGGCUGGCACCAGCCGUCUGGAGGUGAGCUGUGUUCUGCACUGGUUUUCACUGUGGAACGCUGCCCAGAGGGAGGCCUUCUCUGCCACACUGCUUGCCCACUUGGCACCCCCGAGGGAAGACCCCGCUGGUGAGCUGUGUGGCCAGCUUGACGCAUUGUCUCUGUCCCGCCGCAACUCUCCGUCGGUGCUGCACUGUCAGUUGUCCCUGUGUGAGCUGUACUUUGCCUCGUGGGGACCCGAGGGUCAGCGAAACUUCCUCCAGAUUCUGGCGCAGCGUGACGGCCCUUUCGUGGCCCGUUUCCUCGGCUCUCUGGCACAGCGGGAGCCCCUGCUGGCUCAGGCACUGGCCCCGUGACCUCCUCCCCCACCAAAAUUAUUCCCAUCGUGGUCUCCCUGAACAAAGAGAGGAUCCGGGUGGGCAAAGAUGCUGAGCCAGAAGGGCCCCGCGUGCAGCGCUGCCGAGCAGUCUGCUUACCUGCUCAGCUGGUUCGGAGAGUACAGCGACCUGCAGCGUGACGACUUCCUGCAUGUGCUGGCCGAUAAGUACACACUCCUGGGACCUGCCGGUGACGGCGACCUGGGGCUGUCGCACCUCUCCAUGGGGAACCCCGAUGCCCCACCCUCACUCUUCCAAUGCCGCAUGAGCCUCUUCGACCAGUGGUUCCAGGGCUGGAGCGACGAGGACAAAGCGAGCUUCCUUGACCGGCUACGGUCCCUUGACCCGGAGUUUGUGGACAAGCUCUCCUCCGUCCCCAAUGGCACAGCAGACCACAGUCCAAGUGCGCCACUGCCACCAGCAACGACAACAGUCUUGGUCAAUCACUGCACGAGUGUAACAGUCAAUGGAGAUAGUCUCAAAGUCGAUGAGGAUGAAGAGGUGGAGGAGGAGGAGGAAGAGGAAGGAAAUCGGGAGGUAGUCUCGCCAACGGAGGAACCACAACCUAUGCCGAGGAAUGUCGUGUCCCCAAGCAGUGGCUCCGUUGAGGAAGAGAGGGUUUCGCCGAUGGGAGAAAAGAUAGAAUAUGAGGAACAAGAGGAGCUGGUGCUCUGAAGGUUUCACAAAAAUGUGCAGAAUGUGGCGCUACAGUAACAUCAGUCCAGUAUACGACUGGUUGUACUUGUGUCAGUGGUACAGGACGUCUUCCUUGUGUAUUUUCAAGUUGUCUGGCUGACUUUGUCAGGCCAGUGACAAAGCGCUCGCAGAAUGUGUAACCUUUCCUCAUUUCGCAUCGACGGCUUAGGAGGUUUUGUAUAGAAUUUGGACAGGCCGAUUCAAACUGCCAGCAGGCUGCAUAGUGGCUUUGAUAUGUGAUGUGUGAGCAG